Molecule: ribosomal RNA, 490 nt
Filed under: Dermacentor variabilis (American dog tick)
Lineage: Eukaryota; Metazoa; Arthropoda; Arachnida; Ixodida; Ixodidae
Description: partial 16S ribosomal RNA
Rfam family: Bacterial large subunit ribosomal RNA (bases 74-437)
Source: RNAcentral
AGCGAUGUCCCUUGCACGCGGGACCACAGGAUCAAUAAGGCUGACUAUGGUAUAAGUCCGAUUUGACAACCCAGCACUUUUGGGCAAGAAGACCCUAUGAAUUUUAAAAUAAUUAAUUUCUUAUAAGAAAUUAAUUAUUUUUAGUUGGGGCAACUAGAAAAUAUUAUAAACUUUUUAUAUAAUAAAAUGACCCAUUAUUAAUGAUUAUUUGAGAAAAAUACUCUAGGGAUAACAGCGUAAUAAUUUUUGAUAGAACCUAUAGACAAAAUAGUUUGCGACCUCGAUGUUGGAUUAGGAUACUUUUUUAAUGAAGAUGUUAAAAAAAGAAGUUUGUUCAACUUUUAAAGUCCUACUUGAUCUGAGUUCAGACCGGAGGGACCUGGCAGCCAACGUUUCACUUUUUUAUGCUACCGGCCCUUUUGGACCACCCAAAACGCCAUGUCUCGGGACCGGAUAACGGUCCUCUAUAUACGUCCCCACAUAUGGGUGG